GACGAACGCUGGCGGCGUGCCUAAUACAUGCAAGUUGAGCGAUGAAGAUUGGUGCUUGCACCAAUUUGAAGAGCAGCGAACGGGUGAGUAACGCGUGGGGAAUCUGCCUUUUAGCGGGGGACAACAUUUGGAAACGAAUGCUAAUACCGCAUAACAACUUUAAACAUAAGUUUUAAGUUUGAAAGAUGCAAUUGCAUCACUCAAAGAUGAUCCCGCGUUGUAUUAGCUAGUUGGUGAGGUAAAGGCUCACCAAGGCGAUGAUACAUAGCCGACCUGAGAGGGGGAUCGGCCACAUUGGGACUGAGACACGGCCCAAACUCCUACGGGAGGCAGCAGUAGGGAAUCUUCGGCAAUGGACGAAAGUCUGACCGAGCAACGCCGCGUGAGUGAAGAAGGUUUUCGGAUCGUAAAACUCUGUUGGUAGAGAAGAACGUUGGUGAGAGUGGAAAGCUCAUCAAGUGACGGUAACUACCCAGAAAGGGACGGCUAACUACGUG
Molecule: ribosomal RNA, 497 nt
Filed under: uncultured bacterium
Lineage: Bacteria
Description: partial 16S ribosomal RNA
Rfam family: Bacterial small subunit ribosomal RNA
Source: RNAcentral